UUGCUCUUUCUAUUUCAGCUUCUUCCAUGGUUCCCAGAUGGUAUCUCCUCAGCAUAAAAUGGAUCUAAAUCCUACACCAACGUUUCUGGAUUCCUCAGCACUGUGGCUGAAAAUUCUCAGCAACUUCAUUUAAUUUCUAAAGGAAAGCAAGUAAGAUGUGUCAUACUCAGGGAAGCAGCAAAGUCCCCCAUCCCGCCCAAAGAGAAAUAUAGUGAAACUACAAAUAUAUGUUUUCAGCAAUGAUCAUGUCAGACACAUCCAAAUGACUGAGUAGCACAUUUCAGGUAAAGUGCUGGCUGGAGGGAGAAUACUUAAAAAAAAAAAUUCCCAAAUUGUGGAAAGUGCUAAUUUACCCCUCAUCCCAAUUUAAUU
Molecule: long non-coding RNA, 372 nt
Organism: Chelonia mydas (Green sea turtle)
Lineage: Eukaryota; Metazoa; Chordata; Testudines; Cheloniidae
Exons: 2
Source: RefSeq, a predicted model, not a curated record